This 301-nucleotide ribosomal RNA is filed under the name uncultured bacterium. Its description in RNAcentral is "partial 16S ribosomal RNA". It matches the Rfam family "Bacterial small subunit ribosomal RNA", at positions 509 to 809 of the family's 1533-position model. The record is from RNAcentral.
CAGUAGCCGCGGGAACACAGAGGGUGCAAGCGUUAAUCGGAUUUACUGGGCGUAAAGGGCGCGUAGGUGGUUAUGUAAGUCUGAUGUGAAAGCCCACGGCUCAACCGGGGAGGGUCAUUGGAAACUGGGAAACUUGAGUGCAGAAGAGGAGAGUGGAAUUCCACGUGUAGCGGUGAAAUGCGUAGAGAUGUGGAGGAACACCAGUGGCGAAGGCGACUCUCUGGUCUGUAACUGACGCUGAGGAGCGAAAGCGUGGGGAGCGAACAGGAUUAGAUACCCCUGUAGUCCCUGUCUCUUAUAA